This 43430-nucleotide long non-coding RNA is filed under the name Sorghum bicolor (sorghum). Its description in RNAcentral is "long non-coding RNA (SBIC_LNC018402)". Lineage: Eukaryota; Viridiplantae; Streptophyta; Magnoliopsida; Poales; Poaceae. The record is from RNAcentral.
UAAAAUAGGGUUUUUUUGUUUAUUAGACCAGGUGAACCUGUUACCAUUACAGAAAAUUUCCCUUAGUUGACAAUGACCAAUGAAAUUAUUAAAAAGAUCCAUAAGUUUUUGAUCUCCAGUCCCCUGAUUUCUUUCUUUAUUAUUCCUGAUUAGAUUGAAAUCCCCCCCAUCAGAACAGGUAGGCAUAGGCUAGAGCAAAAAGAAGAGAGCUCCUGAAGGAAAAUAUUAGAAAAAUUAUGUUGAGCAGGACCAUAAACAUUGAUAACCCAAUAUCUGUGGUUAGUAUUUCUGUUCCUUACAAGAACUCCCAUAAAAUAGGUUUCAUAAACCUGAUCCUCCACCUCCAGAUUCCCUAAAUUGAUGCCAAUCAUCAUUCCCCCUGAGUGACCUUUGGAAGGGGACCAAAACCAAGAAAAAUCCUGGUUUCCAGCUAAUUCCCUAAGCUCCCAAUCUUCAAAGUUUUGCUUGAUGGUCUCUUGAAGAGCCACGACCUCCAAACUAUCAGAAAUGAUAUGGUCUUUCACUAAGGAUCUCCUACUCGACUUCCCCAGCCCCCUAACAUUCCAGAACAUGAUCUUCAUUUUUGGGUUUGUGUAAGAUGGGUUCCUACUUGCUCACAGGGAUUCACACCAUCAUCUCUCCCCUUGAGAGAUUCUAGUUUGAAAUCCCUUCGGGAAUUAGAAAUCACUCCCAUAGUGAGAUCCAAUUCAUCCUCCACUGUUUUAGGGGCAGUUUUCUGUUUUUGUUUCUCCAAAAAGCUAUUAUAUUUGGCUUCAGCAAUUUUAGCUCUAGCAAUCUCCUCGGCCUUAAAAGCAUCUAAACAUUCAUCAACAUUACCCAAAUCUAAAUCUAAAUCAUCAAUCACAUUCUGCAGAACAGGAUUUGGACAGUUAUUUAAAAUUGUAAAUGGGUUAUUGGUAAUACCUGUGAUUGUGUUUUUCUCCAUAGCCUUUUGUGCAGCUUUCUCUGCAAUAGGAAUCCCAUCCCUUGGAAUCCUGGCACUUGUUCUUGUUGCCAUCACUACUUUCUUAGUGUGGGGGUAUAAACCCCUAUACCCUCAUGGGCCUAUAUGGGCCGCACCAUCAGAGGUGGCUCGGCCCACAGGAUGAAGACGUGCGGCGCACGACUGGUCGGCGUGCACCGCAAGGCUACAAGAUAUUGUACCAAAUAGGAUACUUUGCUUGUAACUCUGUCCCUUCAGGAUAUAUAAGGAGGGGCAGGGGUCCCCUAGAGGACAGGUCAUACACACGAUAUUCUCUCAGCACAAAUCAAUACAACCAGACGCAGGACGUAGGUAUUACGCCAACUCGGUGUCGACGAAAGCUGGUCGGCAGUCUACCUUGGGGUAUACCCACGGUAGUAGUUUAUCGGUAGACGGUGCGCAAACUACGAACUCGAUGGUGACGCAGGACACGGACAAGCUUUUUAUCCAGGUUCGGCCGCCGAGUUGGCGUAAUACCUACGUCCUGCGUCGGGUUGUAUUGGAUUGUGUUGAGAGAUUAUGAUGUGUUCUAGGGGGGUCCCUUGCCCCUCCUUAUAUAGUCCGGAGGGCAGGGUUACAGAUCUGGAAACUAAUCCUAGUCGGUUACAAUUGCCAUGGAUAAUUCGAUAUCAAUUCCUAUUCUAACCGACUAGAAUCCUGCUUGAUCUCCACAUCUUGUUUCCUUGCGCGAAACUCCAGGUUGUCGGAUCAAGCCUUGAACUCGUCUCGUAAUGGGCCAAGCCUCCUGGCCCAAGUCUAGCCGUAAGGGUAUAGGGGUUUGUACCCCCACAGCUAGUCCCCGAGCACCAUGUAUUGUGAUGUAACACGCCGUCUUGAGCUUCUUCGAUCAGUGAGGCUUGACGUCUUCAAUAAGCAGGAAAGUCGCCCGAACAGUUGCAACGGUAUUUUGACCAACUCAAAAGACAGUUGAUCAACAUUGACAUCGAAGAAGCAGGUUGUUCGAAGAAUGCAUGGUGCUCUUGAUUAAAAAAAAUUUCUUUCUUGGUGAAGUGUGCCCACUUUACUUUUCUAAAAAGUAUAGUCUUUUAAAAAGCAAGCAUAUUCACCGCAAGGUGAAGUGUGCCCACUUAGUCCCCGAGCCUGGUAGUAGGUGACGUAGGCACGUGGUGCCAGGGUCAAAAGAAAAUUCCCCAAAGUAGUUUUGAGACUGAGAUGCAUCGCAAGAUGCAUCGUACCGAUGUAGUCCCCGAGCUUGCUGGAAGGCGAAGUAUGAGCCUUGUAGCAAGGUCUAAAAAAUUGAUUUUACCAGUCCCCGAGCAUAUCAUGCUCGUCUGCGAUUGAAUAGACUAAUUGACCAGUCUCCGAGCAUAUCACGCUCGGUGGUCGGUACGUGCCUUAAAGCCUUGAACCGAUAGACUGAGCGACCAGUCCCCGAGCGUCGAGUACUCGGUGGUCGGUACAGUCCUUGAGGUUCCAAGAUGAUAGACUGGGCGACCAGUCCCCGAGCGUCGAGUACUCGGUGGUCGAUGCAGUCCUUGAAGUUCCGAGCUGAUAAACUGGGCGACCAGUCCCCGAGCGUCGAGUGCUCGGUGGUCGGUGCAGUCCUUGAAGUUCCGAGCUGAUAAACUGGGCGACCAGUCCCCGAGCGUCGAGUGCUCGGUGGUCGGUGCAGUCCCUGAAGUUCCGAGCUGAUAGACUGGGCGACCAGUCCCCGAGCGUCGAGUGCUCGGUGGUCGGUGCAGUCCCUGAAGUUCCGAGCUGAUAGACUGGGCGACCAGUCCCCGAGCGUCGAGUGCUCGGUGGUCGGUGCAGUCCCCGGAUUGCUGACUCACUGGCGUAUGUGUCUUCUUACUUUUGAAAAAGUCUUUCCCAUUAAAAUUGACAUGACGGGGUCUCCUGACGAUAUGUCAGACGGAUGCAUGAAAAGCCGCGCCUGGCAACUGUACAACCGCUCUUUGCAUGGUUUGAGAAAAGGAAACCAUCAAUUGGUACGAAAACUCCGCCGCAUUAAUUGCCUAUAAUCAUUGUAAACUGAAACGCCGCGUCCGCCGCAUGGCCUGCCCACUUCCCGAGAAUACAGGAAGUGGGAGAGGUGGGGUCGCGGGUUUAUAAGGGCCUAAUAGGACCUCCUGUACCGCUUCUCCUGCAAUUGCCGUCAAAUCUUCCGCUCUCAUCUUCUCCAAUCUCCUGCACUUUCCUAGCCCAGCGCGCACUCGCACCUCUAAUGGCGAAGAGCGAUUCCAGGAAGAGGGCCGAACUGAUGGCCAAGGAGUGGAAAAAAUCUCGCAGCACCACAAAGUCUCUUGGUGACCUCGUCGACAUGGGGCUUCUGCACGACGCAGAGCUCGGCGGCUGGAGGGCGCCGGAAGGGGAGAGCUACCCCGACCCUCGCGCCGGUGAGAUCGUCGUUUUUGAAGACUUCAUCAAGAGAGGCUUUGGUGUUCCUGUUCAUCCCUUUCUACAGGGUCUUCUUUUGUACUAUGAGAUCGGGAUUUGCAAUCUGCACCCGAACUCGAUUCUCCUUAUUUCCACCUUCAUCCAUCUGUGCGAGGCCUAUGUUGGCAUAGAGCCGCACUUUGAUCUUUUCCGGUACCUUUUCUGUCUGAGGAAGAAGGGAGCAGUUGGAGGCUCCAAGGUUGCAGGUGGAGUAUACCUCAACCUUCGUGAUGGGAUGAAGAACCGCUACCUACACUGCCCAUGGAACACCUCUUUGACCGAAUGGUACAGGAGGUGGUUCUACGUCAGGGAGGAACCGGGCAGCUCCACGUUCUGCGACGUGGGGUACGUUCCCGAGAAGAGGGCGAGCUGGAGCGACCGCCCGGAGUACGACGGUCAAGUGGCGGAGCUGAUGAAGCUGAUCGACUGGUCGCGCCUGGACGGGUUUAGCGUGGUCGGCAACUUCAUUUGCCGCCGGGUGAUGCCCUGCCAGAAGAGGGUGCACUCGGCGUAUGAAUAUGCCGGAAGCGCAGACCCGACCAGGAUGCGGUCGGAGAUCCUGGAGAAGGCGGAGGUACAACAGCUGCUGAACGAGCUGUUUAACUUUGCCGAUGGGGGCUUCACCCGUAGCAGUGAUCGGGUGCAAGCCUUCAAACUAGGACGACCAGCACCAAAGGUAUGUAGCAUAGCCCGUUUGAUCAUUCUUAUGUCGUCUGCAGUUGGCUCACCUCUGUUGCUUUUGCAGGUCGGUGAUGUCGACCGGUGCGUAGUGUACGCAUCACUGGCACCGGGGAUGGAAGAUCCUGUGGGAGAGGUCCCGUCGGAAGAAGACCGAGCCCGCCCCGUCCUGACCUCCGAGGAGAGGGUAGCGGGGAAAAGGCCAUUGCCGGCGAAUCCCUUGCCAACGCCGGAGCUGCCGGCAGACCUACCGGCGGAGAGCAGCCAAGCGCCGAAGCGUCGUCGGCUCGUGCGGAUCGUCGACGACGACGAGGACGACGAGGAGGCUGCGCCGUCGCUGGUCCGACGGCCUCGGGACCGCCCAAACGCUGCGCCGGUCGCCACUGAUCGAGUGGCCAGCGACGCGGCUGCCCCGCAAGUUGCCGAGGUGGGGGCACAGGCGCCGACCGGCCGGGCGAGGAGGAGGUUCACCGCGACCCAUCGGCGGUCAGACCUGUAAGUGUUCAACUUACGUAUUUUGGACUCCUCUCUCUUUUUUUUUUUCUUUUUUUUUAACUUUUGUUCCUGUAGUGCGGCAUCGGAUGUCGACCCUGGCCAAACUGCUGGCCAGGGAACGGGCGAGCCUGCCCGCGGUUCUGGGGAUGCGGCCCCCCAGACCACAGAGCAGCCAACAGCUGCAGUCGCGCCUGGGAGCACGGAGGGGCUCCCGAGCGCGGCGCCUACUACAACAAGCAGCCCGACCAGGGCUGGGGAGGCUCCCCCAACUGACUCCUCGGAGAAGGGAAAGUCUCCGACCGCUCCUCCUGCCGGGGGGAGUGAAGUCCCCCUGCCGCCCCGAGCAGGAGCCUCUCCGGCUGCGGGCUCCCCAGGUCUGGUCCAAGGGACGGUGGCGCCUGGGACCACCACCGGGGGUGACGCAGCCCAGGAGGAGGAAACCAGGGCGGCCUCCGACGACGAGGUAGAAGAGAUCGAGGGUCGUCCCCGUGAUGGCCGCCAACACGUGUAUGUGUGGCGCCAACGCGGGGAUCACUUUAUCGGUCAUGAGGAGCUCGCCGAGUCCGAAGAGGCCGCCAGGGUGGAGCGCGCGGCUAAGCGCCUUGUCGACGAGGUCAAGGUAAGCGGCGUUUUGAGCUGCCGCGCGAUCUUUUGCCUUGUCUUCUGCGCAUUCUUAUAUGCUUGCUUUGUAGGACGUUAUGAAAACGGCGAAGUACCGGAAACGGUGCUUUGACCAGAUAGAAGGCGUCAUGGCCGAGAACAAGGCCCUUGCCGCGGAGGUAGACCGGUUGCGGGCGGAGGUCGGAGAGAAGGUGGUCGAGAUGAGCGCCGAAAAGGAGCGUCGUCUCGACCUCUCUCGUCGCCUGGCCGACCAGUACCGGCUGCAGGAAGGUUAGUCACACGCUCCGAGCAGUUUCACAUACUUGUAUAGUUUGCUUUGCUGACCAGUUAAUCGAUUCACGCAGACUUGGAGGAGGAGGUGGCGAGCCUCCAACAAGAGAAGGAGCAGCUCGGCCAACAGCUCGCCAGUGCACAGGAGUCCGGGCGGCGAGCGGAAGAGGAGUUGGGCCGAAAAGACCGGGAGUUAGCUGGUAAUGAGUGCCGCCUUGUUGAUUGCUGCCUGCCCUGUGCUUGUCUGGUAACGUUUCAUUUCGUUUGCAGUGCUCAAGGUGAACACCAAGAAGCACCUGGAUGAGCUGAUCAGGGACCGGGACUCCUGGAAGGGCAACUGUUGCAAGAUCUGGAAGGGAGUGUCCCCGGUCCUGGACCUGAUCAGUCCCGAGCUCCCGGAGAGCCAGCCCCGCGCGCCGCAGUUGACCCCAGUCGGGAAGGCGCAACGGGCGUGGGACUGGCUCCAGCAGUUUGUGAAGGACGCCGGAGAGUUUGCCGGCGCGCACGUCCUCAGCAUGGUGCGCGCCCACUACCCCCUGGUUGACUUGAGCAGGCUGGAGAAGGGGUACCCGAAGGAAGUCGGCCCACAGGAAGCGGACGAACUUCGGGGUAGUCUGCUGGAUUUGUCGUCGACGGUGAUCGGCGACAUCAACCUGUGCGGAACGGCCACUCCUCCAGACCAGCCGAGCUCAGAUAGGUCGGCCAGGGAGUUGUCGGGCGCGUCCGUUGCUGGAGAUGGGCGGUCGACGCCUGCGGUCUCGACCAGCCAGGCGCCGGUGGCCCCGACCCCUUCGUCCGGGCAGCAAGGCCAGGCGGGUGAUCAGCCCGAGCAGCUAGGCCAAUAAAGUAGUCUGUAGGAAUAGACUAGUAUCUGCCCGUCAGGGUGUUUAUUGUAAACUUUGUAUGUAAAGUUUGUAAUAAAGUUUUCUUUUUUGUCAUGACUGUUGUUUUGAGCGCUGUAAGAAUGUCUGAGUGACGUGUCACCGUAUUUGUCUUGGUUGUCGCCAAGAGCAUCCAUUGCAGGAGUUUUGCUGGGUGCUGCGUACGACAAGGUAUAGGCGAGAAAUAUAGAAUCUUAUUAUCAAAAAUUAUAAGAUACUUACAAAAGAAAGCCAUUAAAACGUUAUGGAUAGAAUCGUCGCAGUUUGUCGAUGUGCCAAGAGUUAGGCACUCGUGUUCCGUCUGGGUAUGCCAAUCUGUAGGACGUAGGUCGUGUGACCUUGGUCACCACGAAGGGUCCUUCCCAGGGAGUGGAUAACUUGUGCAUUCCCUCCUGGUUCGUUUUCCAUCGAAGCACCAGAUCGCCGACCACAAAGGAACGGUCCUUGACGUUCCUGUUGUAGUAUCGCCUGACUGCCGCGAGAUAUUUUGCUGUUCGGAGACAUGAAACUAAACGAUUUUCCUCCAUGCAAUUGACUUCGAGUUCCCUGGCGUUGUCGGCAGUCGCCUCGUCGUAGUGCUCGAUUCUAGGAGAUCUGAAGUGUAUGUCGGCCGGCAGGACCGCCUCUGCACCGUAUACCAUGAAGUAGGGAGACACCCCUGUGUUUCGACUGGUCUGGGUUCGGAGGCCCCAGACUACUGCCGGCAAUUCUCUCAUCCAUCGACCGGGUGCUCUGUCGUUUUCGGUGUACAGCCUCUUCUUUAGGGCAUCAACGAUCAUUCCAUUAGCACGUUCGACUUGACCGUUAGCACGUGGGUGUGCUACUGACACAUAUUUUAUGACUAUGCCUCUGUCAUCGCAGAAAUCCCAAAAAGUGGUGCCAGUAAACUGAGUGCCCAGGUCGGUGAUUAUGCUGUUCGGGAUGCCGAAUCUGUGUAUGAUUUGAUUGAGAAACUCCACGGCCUUCUCGGAGGUUGCCUUGACCAAGGGCAUGUAUUCGAUCCACUUGGAGAACUUGUCGAUUAGCACGAAGACAAACUUGAAGUUGCCCGGGGCUGGUUUAAAUGGUCCGAUCAUGUCAAGCCCCCAGCAAGCAAAGGGCCAAGACGACGGGAUAGUCUGAAUUUCAUGGGCGGGUACGUGGGUCCUCUUAGCGAAAAACUGACAUCCUUCGCAAUGCCGAACCAGUUUUUCUGCGUCGCCGACCGCGGUUGGCCAAUAAAAACCUGCUCGGAAAGCCUUUCCGACCAGCGUUCUAGAUGCGGCGUGGUUGCCGCAGGAUCCAGCGUGUAUGUCUUCCAAGAGCUUGAUACCAUCGUCUUGGGGUAUGCACUUGAGCAGUACUUCGGAGCUUGCGUUUUUCCGCAUGAGUUUUCCGUCGACCAGGAUGUAGUUCUUUGACCGUCGGAUGAGGCGCUCGUUCUCUGUUUUGUCCUGAUAGCCUGUUCCGUCUGAUAUGUAUUUGAUGAACGGGGUGCGCCAGUCACGCCCACCGGUUGCCGGAGUGGCGUCAUCUAUGAGCAUUGCCUCGGUGGGUUGCUUGUCGACCAGGGGAGGGCUUACGCUUGGCUCAUGGAUGUCCUGGACAAAAAUACCCCGCGGGAUCUGGGCCCGAGAUGAGCCUAACUUUGACAACGCAUCUGCUGCUUGGUUCUUGUCCCGGACCACGUGGAUGUACUCUAUGCCAUAGAAGUGAGUUUCCCAUUUGCGAAUUUCUUUGCAGUAGAGAUCCAUCUUCUCGUGGGUUGCGUCCCACUCCUUGUUGAGCUGGUUGAUGACCAAGGCAGAGUCGCCGUAGACAUAGAGGCGCUUGACCCCCAGUUCAACGGCUAGUCGUAUGCCGUGUAAGCAUGCUUCGUAUUCGGCGACGUUGUUUGACGCCGGGAAAAGGAUCCUAAGGACGUAGCGGAGUUUGUCCUUGUUGGGUGAUACGAACAGUAUCCCAGCGCCUGCACCGUUGAUGUUCAAGGACCCAUCGAAGAACAUAGACCAGUGGUCUGAGACAUCGGGAACGGAAGGUUCGUUGAGAUCCGUCCAUUCGGCAAUGAAAUCGACCAGGGCUUGGGACUUGACAGUGGUGCGACUCUGGAACUCCAGGGAAAAUGGACAUAACUCCAUUGCCCAUUUCACGAUUCUGCCAUUGGCGUCUUUAUUGCGCAGGAUGUCACCGAGAGGAAAGCUGGUUGUCACCAGGACUCGAUGGCCGUCGAAGUAAUGCUUCAGUUUUCUUGACGUUAUCAGGAUGGCGUAUAUAAGCUUCUGUAUUUGUGGGUACCUGGCCUUGGAUUCGUUUAAAACUUCGCUUAUGAAGUAAACGGGUCUCUGGACCUUGAAGACGUGACCUGGUUCAUCUCGCUCGACCACUAUUGCCGUGGAAACAACCCUGUCGGUUGCGGCAAUGUAAAGGAGCAGGUCUUCAUUAGGCUGAGGCGCUGUGAGGACAGGCGGUGAAGUGAGGAAGAUCUUAAGCUGAGUGAACGCGGCGUUGGCUUCUUCGGUCCAGGAGAAUUUUUCUGACGCUUUCAAUAGUUUGAAGAAAGGGAGGCCUUUUUCUCCCAGCCUUGAAAUGAAACGGCUGAGGGCGGCCAUGCAUCCGGUUAGCUUCUGAAUGUCCUUGACGUUCUUCGGUGGUCGCAUGUCGAGUACGGCUUUGACUUUUGAAGGGUUUGGUCGUAUGCCGUCGCGACUGACGACGUUGCCGAGCAGUAGACCGGAAGGAACGCCGAAAAUGCAUUUCUUGGGGUUGAGCUUCCACUUGUACCUAUUGAGUGCCUUGAAGGUUCGGUCUAAGUUGUCGAUCAGGGUGCUCGCGUCCCUUGUUUUUACGACCACGUCGUCCACGUAGGCCUCGACGAGGUCAUCGCGAAUCUCGUCGUGGAGGCAUUGCUGGAUGGCCCUUUGAUAAGUGGCCCCGGCGUUUUUAAGUCCGAAAGACAUGGUAGUGUAACAAUAUGCGCCGAAGGGUGUGAUGAAGGAUGUUUUGAUCUGAUCUUCUUCCUUUAACGAGAUCUGGUGAUAACCAGAGUAGCAAUCUAGAAAGGAGAGGAGUUCGCAUCCGGCCGUUGAGUCGACCACCUCGUCGAUGCGAGGAAGACCAAAAGGAUCUUUAGGACAGUGCUUGUUGAGAUCGGUGUAAUCAACGCACAUUCUCCAUUCAUUAUUCUUUUUGCGUACAAGAACCGGAUUGGCGAGCCAAUCGGGAUGAUACACCUCUUUUAUGAAUCCGGCUGCUAGAAGCCGUGUUAUCUCUGUCCUAAUAGCCUCCUUUUUGUCACGAGCGAACCGUCGUAGUUUUUGCUUGAUUGGUCUUGCGGUCUUCGAGACGUUUAAGGAGUGCUCGAUCAGGUUUCGUGGGACACCGGGCAUGUCUGCGGGUUUCCAUGCGAAAACGCUCACGUUGUCCUUUAGAAACCUGACGAGCGCGUCUUCCUAUUUUGGAUCCAGGUUAGCCCCGAUGAGGGCUGUCUUCUCGGGGUUACCUUCGACCAGCUGCACUUCUUUGUACUCCUUGGAUUUCGAAUUCUUUCUGGCUGUCUCUUGCUCGGGUAAUCGGAGCUGGUCGGGGGGCAGCUGUGCGGCUUGGGUUGCUGUUUCCGCCAUGCGGAUUGAGAGGUCAAUUGCCUCGGUGAUCUUGAAACUUUCUUCUUCGCAGGUGUACGCAGUAUAGACGUUGCCUCUGACGGUCAGGACGCCCUUCUCCGUGGGCAUCUUAAGCACCAGGUAUGAGUAGUGCGGGACUGCCAUGAACUUUGUCAGUGAUGGGCGGCCCAGUAUGGCGUGGUAGGUCCCGUCGAAGUCCGCGACUACGAAGUUGAUGAACUCCGUCCGGAAGUGAUCGGGUGUGCCGAAUUGGACAGGCAAUGUUAUCUGUCCGAGGGGCACCGAACUUUGACCUGGCAAAACCCCCCAGAAUUGGGCGUCGUAAGGUUUUAGUUGCGCCGGUGAUAUCUUGAGGGCGGGCAGGCUGUUGCGGAAGAGGAUGUCGAUGGAGCUUCCCCCGUCCACGAGCACGCGCUCGAAUCUGAUGCUAUUGAUGCAGGGAUCAAGAAUCAGUGGGAAACGACCCGGCUCUGGGAUAGUGGCCCACUGGUCCUUCCUGCUGAACGCGAUCUCCCUGUGGGACCAGGCGGGAAAUUUCGGAUCUGCGAUCAGCCUGUCCGUGCUGUCUAUGUUGAGGCAGGCUCUCUUUAACAGUUUUCUUUCUCGCUUGGACUCAGUGGAGACCUUGCCCCCGAAAAUGGAGUGAACCACGUCGGUAGGGCUGACAUAUUGGUGUCGGGGGUCCCUGUCUUGGUCCUCAUCCUCAUCUUCGUGGUCGUGCCCGUCGCGUUUGCUGCUUUUCUUGGCGGUGUCUUCUUGGGCGGCCCGCCGUGUAUAGAUACUUUUGAGGACGCGGCACUCUUCCAUGGUAUGGUUAGACUUCGGGUGUAGCUGGCACGGUCCCUUCAACGUUUUGUUGUAGUCGUCUUGGUAGUCCCGUCGUCCAUUGGGACGUUUGACCGUGUUUACUUCGUGGUCGUACUCGCGAGGGCGCUUUCCUCUGAAGUCGUCGCGGCUGUCGCGCCGCCGAUCCCAACCCUCUCGGUGAUCGCGGUUGUCGGAGCGGCGAUGAUUUCUGUUGUCGUAGCGACCACGACCGUCGUCUCGCCGGGAGGGCUGGUCGGUGCCUCUCGCAUCGUCUCGGAUUAGUUUUUCUGCGUCAUCAGCAUCGGCGUAAUUUUUAGCCGUGGCGAGGAGCUCCGCUACCGUUGAUGGGCGCUUACGCAAUAGCUUGUUCCUCAGCGCUUCAUGGAAACGCAAACCCUUGAUAAAGGCUGAUAUGGCCUCGUCAUGAGAAAUCCUCGGGAUUUUGAGACGCAUAUCCGAGAAUCGUCGGAUGUAAUCGCGCAGAGGUUCAUUCUUCCUGUCUCUUAUCCUUUCAAGGUCAUACUUGUUUCCGGGCUGCUCGCAUGUGGCGAUGAAGUUGUCGAUGAAAGCCUGACGCAGCUCCUCCCAAGAGUCGAAGGAGUCCUCGGGCAAGCCGAGAAGCCACUGAUGACCAGCCUGGUCGAGGACUACGGGGAAGUAAUUAGCCAUGACGUGCUCAUCUCCUGCCGCUGAUCGGACGGCGAUUUCGUAGAGAGUGAUCCAGUUCUCUGGAUUUUCCUUGCCGUCGUAUUUUUUAAGUUUUUCGAGCUUGAAAUUGCGGGGCCACACGACUUGGCGGAGGUGUGAAGAGAACUGCCUUAGGCCCGGAGGACCGUGGGUCGCGUCGUACUCGAUGCGGCGCAGGUUCUCAUGGACUGCUCUUUCUGCGGCGCGCCUGUUGAUGCGGUCCCGGGCAUCUUUGGUGGGGAUGUUGUGGCGGAGAUCCCUGUGUUGAUCUUCUUCUUCUUGGCCGCGUACGCGGUCCUGCUGGCGGCGGCCAUCGGCGUCCCGACCACCAUCAUCGCGCCGUGAGUCCCCUCGACGGUUGUCGGGGGAGCGGCUGCGGCGACGCCUGCUGGGUGAGGCCCGGCUACGAUGAGUCUGGUCGGAGGCGGCUUCCGUAUAAGAGGCGUCCUGGACUCUCUUGAGCAGAGCGGCUGUCUGUCCCAUUGCGGCGAUCAGGUGUGCUCGGAUACUGGUCCGGACUCCCUGGCAUUCGGGGGUGUCAGGAAGCCGAUCCAGAUUGGCCAUGGCGACAGCCACGUUGGCGCUUGGCGUUUUGUAGACCGGCUGGUCCCCGACCAUGUCGAAGGCAUCGUUGAGGUUGCCUGGCGGCGUCUGUUGUUGCUCGUCUGCACGCCGUCGGGCGCGCUCGGCGUUACGCUGUUCACGGAGUUGCCUCUGGUCGUCUGUUUCUCCGUCAACGGCUGGUUCGUCGGCGCUGACAUUGAAUACAAUAUCCCCUCGCCGGGGGGGGAAUAUCGGGAAUCGGUCGAAACCCGGAGGGUGUGAAGGAAAAUCCAGGUCAUAGUCCUCGUCUUCGGUGUUCACAACCUCGGUGGGGACGGAGCCGGUGCUUGAGUUGGUGCUGGAAACCUGGCCGUCCCGUAGCUCUCGGAUGGUCACCAUGUUGACAUGGUGGCGAUUGUUCCUUGUCGGCGACCAGCCCGCUUUGCUGAAAACGGAUUGGACAUGCCGUGAAUAAACAGAGGCCGAGUUGUUCAGGCCGCAAGGAUAGUCUUCCUUUUUGAGCUCGACGGAUCGUCCUGAGGGGGUUGAGGUUAUCGUCAGGGAUGUUCCCAGCCGUUCGUGUGUGGUGACACGAGUUGGCCGGCGGAAUUUCGAAGAAUCCGCUCGAGCGGCUUGGUCGGGCCGGCGCAGAACUCCAUCUAUUAGUUGGGAGACUUCGAAUAGCUUGGAGUCAGCGCGAUCGAGCGCUUGGAGGAGGUCCGAGCAGUCGAUCUCCCUUCCCUUGUAGAGCGGGAGCGGUGGUCGGGAGCUUGGUGUCGUCACGCGCGUGGUCGGAGACGACGUGGUCUCAGAUUGGAUCUGGAUCUCUUUCGGAACCGUGGUCGCGAAACCGCCGCUGCGCGUCGUCCACGUGAUUUGGCCGACGGUGAACGUGAGGCCUUCGGGCACGGUCGCGGAAGCUGGGAUCGUGACCAUCUUGUUCGCCGGAAAAGUUGCACGCACACCCCCUACCUGGCGCGCCACUGUCGACGAAAGCUGGUCGGCAGUCUACCUUGGGGUAUACCCACGGUAGUAGUUUAUCGGUAGACGGUGCGCAAACUACGAACUCGAUGGUGACGCAGGACACGGACAAGCUUUUUAUCCAGGUUCGGCCGCCGAGUUGGCGUAAUACCUACGUCCUGCGUCGGGUUGUAUUGGAUUGUGUUGAGAGAUUAUGAUGUGUUCUAGGGGGGUCCCUUGCCCCUCCUUAUAUAGUCCGGAGGGUAGGGUUACAGAUCUGGAAACUAAUCCUAGUCGGUUACAAUUGCCAUGGAUAAUUCGAUAUCAAUUCCUAUUCUAACCGACUAGAAUCCUGCUUGAUCUCCACAUCUUGUUUCCUUGCGCGAAACUCCAGGUUGUCGGAUCAAGCCUUGAACUCGUCUCGUAAUGGGCCAAGCCUCCUGGCCCAAGUCUAGCCGUAAGGGUAUAGGGGUUUGUACCCCCACACUCGGCGGCCGAACCUGGAUAAAAAGCUUGUCCGUGUCUUGCGUCACCAUCAAGUUCGUAGUUUGCGCACCGUCUACCGAUAAACUACUACCGUGGGCAUACCCCAAGGUAGACUGCCGACUAGCUUUCGUCGACAGUGGCGCGCCAGGUAGGGGGUGUGCGUACAGCUCUCCCGACGAACAAGAUGGUCAUCAUCCCCAACUUCGCGGCCAUGGCGGGCGACUUCACGUUCACCGUCAGCUUCAACAGCUUCACCGCCAUGACCACGGAGGAGGUGUAGAUCCGAUCUGCGCCAACCACUUCUUCAUCGACGUCGGCCGCGGCUCCAACCACGCUGGCUACGACUCCAACUACUCCAGCAACGUCUCCGACCACGCCGACAACGCGUCACCCGCUUCUCUGCUACAAAGGGAGGCAGAUCGACGACACCGACCUGCUCAGGCUAUCGACCAAGUUGUUUGGCCUACUUGCUCUGACCACGAGUCGCAAUAAUAAUCGCCGCGAAGAACGGCGCUACGACAGCCGCGACCACCAUCACGACAACAAGUCAAGCAACUCUCCCGACCAGACUUUCGUCCAAAGAUAAGUACACUUCUAAUAUUUUAUUUAUUUUUGGCAUAAUAUUUUUAAUAUUAUUAUUCUUCAAAACAAUUUUUUUAGCCGACUAGUUUUUUCUCCUACACGAGCUUUCCAGAGCCGGUACUGUCUCCGACUCCUCCCUACACGUGCACGAGAUCCGCCCUCUGCGUUCCGGGUGGUCGGCAGUAGCUCUCUGACGUGGCUGACAAUCCUACGCGUGCCUAGGUUCCGCACCUCAUGCUGAUUGUUGGCUAGACCAGAGCUGGUACAAGCUCUAGGACGAAUUAACUACUCGUGCUAAUUUUAUAACAAAAAAUCUAAAACUUAUCUCAGUACUGAUUUUUUUUAUCUAGAGUUUAUUUAUACAUCAUGUACUACCUGUUCUCUAUAUUUAUUUUUCAGGAGUUUGGUCCAGUCGACAAGCUACGCUCGGGGACUCGUCGACUAUUCCCUACGCUGUGUCCGGGGACUGCUCCGACCACCGAGCACGUUUACGUUCCCAACCACGCUCGGGGACUUGUCGACUACUCUUUACGCUGUGCUUGAAGACUGUGCCGACCACCGAGCACGUUUACGUUCCCAACCACGCUCGGGGACUUGUCUACCAGUCUCUACGCCGUGCUCGGGGAUUGUGCCGACCACCGAGCACGUUUACGUUCCCAACCACGCUCGGGGACUGGCCGAUCAGUCUCUAUGUCGUGCUCGGAGACUGUGACUACCGAUCGUGCUCGGAGACUCAUCAAUCACUCCCUGCGCUGUGCUCGGGACUUGCUUCGAUCACUCUCCGACCACAGCUCGGGGACUGCUUUUCUCAGUUACAUAUGAAUUGGACUGGAUAACUUGAAUUUUUUAGACCUUGCUACAAGGCUCAUACUUCGCCUUCCAGCAAGCUCGGGGACUACAUCGGUACGAUGCAUCUGGCGAUGCAUCUCAGUUUCAGAAUUUCUUUGAGAACUUUUCUUUUGAUCCUGGCACCACGUGCCUACGUCACCUACUACCAGGCUCGGGGACUAAGUGGGCACACUUCACCUUGCGGUGAAUAUGCUUGCUUUUUGAAAGACUAUACUUUUCAGAAAAGUAAAGUGGGCACACUUCACCAGGAAAGAAAUCUUUUUUGAUUAAGAGCACCAUGCAUUUUUCGAACAACCUGCUUCUUCGAUGUCAAUGUUGAUCAACUGUCAUUUGAGUUGGUCAAAAUACCGUUGCAACUGUUUGGGCGACUUUCCUGCUUAUUGAAGACGUCAAGCCUCACUGAUCGAAGAAGCUCAAGACGGCGUGUUACAUCAUAAUACAUGGUGCUCGGGGACUAGCUGUGGGGGUAUAAACCCCUAUACCCUCAUGGGCCUAUAUGGGCCGCACCAUCAGAGGUGGCUCGGCCCACAGGAUGAAGACGUGCGGCGCACGACUGGUCGGCGUGCACCGCAAGGCUACAAGAUAUUGUACCAAAUAGGAUACUUUGCUUGUAACUCUGUCCCUUCAGGAUAUAUAAGGAGGGGCAGGGGUCCCCUAGAGGACAGGUCAUACACACGAUAUUCUCUCAGCACAAAUCAAUACAACCAGACGCAGGACGUAGGUAUUACGCCAACUCGGCGGCCGAACCUGGAUAAAAAGCUUGUCCGUGUCUUGCGUCACCAUCAAGUUCGUAGUUUGCGCACCGUCUACCGAUAAACUACUACCGUGGGCAUACCCCAAGGUAGACUGCCGACUAGCUUUCGUCGACACUUAGCUUUCUUGAUUUUCCUGGAUUUGGGAGCAUGCCACUCAAUGUGUUCCCCAUCACUUUCUUUAUCCAGGAAUGACUCCUUAUCCAUCAUGUCUUCUGCACAUUCACCCCCCUUGGUGUUUAGCAUCUGACCAUUCUGAGAAACAGAAACAUUCACUCCAAGGGACUGUGACAUCAGAGAUUCUUCCUGAGUCAAGACUUCCAUUUCUUCUGUUGUCUGAACCUCUUUUUCUAUGGGAAUGAUUAACUUGGGCCACUUGCAUUUGUCCAUCAAAUAGUUCCCUUCUCGACCAUGUACCAAGAUCUUAGAAUCAGAGUGGGAAUCAAAUUCCUCUAUCACAUUCUCAACAAUGUUAUCUGUAACCCCCCCACCAGGGAUCACUAUUUGAUUUUUGUCAUGAAUACCAUCAGUACAGUUACCUGCAGCAUUGUACUCCAACAUCAAAUCUGAGUUCAGCCUCCUAGAUUCCUUUCUAGCUUCACUUUCAUUAUACUGUCUUCCAGCUUGCAAAAUAUCCAUCACACCAACGCCUGGACAAAACAUUGCCAAUGGAGUAGCCACUACCUGUUCAGACUCCCCCUCUGUCACUUCUGAGUUGCCCUGAACCUUCUCCAGAUCUUCUUCCAUCGAAUCAUCAUGAUUAGGAUCCAUUUCUUUAUCAAUUUGGCCCAUUCUAUCAAACUUACUCAUGCUCUUUUUAGUAUGAUCUUCUUUAGAAUGCUUGUCUCUGUCUUUGUCAGGCUUGUCAUCAUACUUAUUAGAUCCUGGAGGGCCUCCCAUUCCCCCCUUUCCAGAACUUUGUUUUCCCCCUUCUACCUCAAAUCUGAUGAGCUUGCCACUACCAUUGAAGAAAACUUCUAUUGCCCCUUUGAUAGCCCCCGGAUUCCUGCACCUCCCCUGUACCCUAACCGGGUCUUCCUUGAUAAUGCUGAGCUCAUCAACCACAAGAGGUUCAAUCACCAGACCUGCAAUCUCCUUAAUAGACUCCACAUCCCUAGCCAGAUCAGGAACCCCAUGGAUCUUUAUCCAAACAGUAUGUAGGAUAGAAGAAGUAUCAUACUCCCUUGCAGUUUUCUCUAUCUUACCUUUCAAGCCAUACAAAGACAUUUGGAAUUCAGACAAUUUAGAGAAAGUCUCUAGAGAAAUUUUGUCUGGAAAAACCACUAGAAACUCAUGAGUGUGAAUCUGUUUAACCUUGAAGUCCCAUUCUUCUCUAACUAAGUUCUUCAGUUCUCUGUCCACCCUCUCCUCAGUAGCCUCCCCAGCUAGGAUAAUGAGUAAUCCAGUAUUCUGAUGUGUCUUGAUUUUUGCUUCUGUAAAAUUCAUGGUAUAAAACCCCUGCCCUGGCACUCCAAAACCAAACAUCUUGAGUUUUUUGUACUCAUCUUUCUUGCAGUCCAUUGCCAUGUGGCCUACCUCUUUGCACUUAUAGCAAACUGGAUCAUUUGUGCAGUCCACCUAGAAAUGUCCAGUACCUAGGCAUCGAAAACAUUUGACAUCUUGGUUAGGGACACGGUUUCCCUUGUUGCUGAUGUGCCCCUGAUCUCCCUCUUUACUCAUACCUUGGACUAGGUUAAGAUCCGGCUGCCUUUCUCCAGAACUACCAGUAAACCGCCCUCCAGAAUCUAGGUUUCGAUUGCCAUGCAAAUUUGGACCUUGAGACCAACCCCUUUGCUGCCCUAGGUUACGAGCCUGAACUCUGCCCCCUUGAUGACUUUCUCCUCUACCACCCACGAAACCUUUGCCACGGAAGAUCCUCUCAUGAUCAGGACCGCUAGGAACCAGAGCUCGUGAGUAGUUACCUUCUUGUUUUCUCCCCCUGACACUCGCAUCCAGAUAUCUUGGAUCCUUCUGCAGUUGGCGUCUCAGGUCUUGAUCUUGUUUGAAAUCCUCUUGAAGAAGAUCGUCCUCCUCCAUCCACCCUUCAGUCCGCCAAUCCUCUUGCCUUCUUUUUGGCGGUCUGAGAUGCUCCCGGUUUGCCAUCCCAGCCUCCACUAUCCUGGAGAACGAAUGGUAGAGCGGCGCAGGAGAAGGAAGACGACGGACCUUCUUAGCUAGGUAUCCAAAUCGUCUGAUCUCUUGUUGUUGGGCUGGAUAACAGGUCUCCAUUGUAAUAUUUCCUUUAGGAAUCCAAUACCAGCCUGGCCCAGGAUCCAGCCCAUUAGGAACCCAAGAGUGGUCAAACCUAUGAUCUAUCUGAUUCUCCACUAUCUCCUGCCCCUGCUUUGUGGGCUGUUUCUGCAUUUCCAACGCACAUCCCCAUUUAACCGACGACAUUCUCCCCAUAGCUGACUCCAGGUUCUGCCAGGACGAAUCCAAGUCCUCCAUUUCCGAGUUUGUUGGAUGUGUAAAGAUGCAUUGUCUUAUCUCUUCCUCUAACUGUCUCUUCGCUCUACGUUUUCCCCCAACCGUAGACAGAGUGUAUCCUGACUGAUCCUUUAGUGUAACUGGUAUAACCUUCAGACCCAUUGUACCUUUAUUACUCAUCGUACUAAAACCAAGCUGAGGCCAAUUUUUGUCCCAAUCUGAGUCGGAAGAGAUAAUGGGUUGUUCAGAAUUACUAUUCUCAGUCUCAUUCCUCUCCCCUUUGCUUGGGCAGUGUGAUAACUCCCCUGUCAUCACACCCAAAGCAGUAGACUGAAUCUCCUUGGAAUUGCCCUUUAAAUAGCUAUGACAUAUCAGAUCCUUGUUCCCCACAUGAUCAGCACAUCCUCUCUCAUUUGCACCUUCCAUUUGUGUUCGAUCAGUUUUAUCACCUGGAACUAUUGGUGUGCGCGACCCCUGAUUCAGAACAGACCUAAUUUCUAAAUCCCCUGGAGCGAAAUUGGGCAGCACCAACCUCCGUGAACAAGGAGUAUUCAGUUGACAUGUACUAAUCCGAUUAUGUUUUUUAGCCAGGAAAUUUGCCUCAUGAACAUGUUUGUCACAAUCAUCACAGAGGAAAGCAUCAUCCGCCGGACAAAAACAGGAUGCAGGAUCAUCACAAAUAUCACAGAGUCUUAAUCCUCCCACCAUGGCGAACCUUAAACGCUCAAUCCCUAAAUGUGCGAUCCAAGGAGGUUGAGGAACUCACCGGGCUCAGUGUCGCCUCCCGAAGCCAAUCACCACCCGCCGGAGAGAAGUUACCCAGAGGCGGAUCGCCCUUCGCCGCGCCCCAGAGCAACGACCCCCCGCCGUUCCCUCCCCACCCUCGGCCGGCGGUCUCAGCGUCGCCUCCCAAAGCCGGUCGAAGCCCAAUCGCGAGACUCGCCGGAGAGAAGCGAGAUGCUCGGAGGCGAACCGCCGGAGAGUCGCCCUCGUCUCCGCUAUGGUGACUCGCCGCCGUCUCACCAGGUGAUUUUCCCCCUUGACAGGUUCACAUCUCACUGGCACAGCCGACCCCGGCUCGUACUGUUUCUAUAGCUAUUAGCUAAACCAUUGGACUUGUAGCACGGAGUGUAAGCUAUACUAUUUGAUUACUGUGGGUGUUGUUACAAGUGCUUUGCCCGGGGAGCAGCAGCAGCUUGCGCAUGCAUGUCGAAUGUGGCAGUCAGAUGAGAAUACGAGAUGUGCCGCGCGCCGCCCCUGCCCGUUCGUCUUCGUCCUCGGCUUGACUGAUGACCCCUUUUGUACUGUACCUGUACUGGAUGCUUCUUCCCUUCCCUCGGCUGGCGCGCGGCUGCACCCAACUCGCAAGUCGCAAGUGGCGAAUGAAAGCAGCAGCCGCCCCGCACGGCGUGUGUCGACGACCGUACCCCGAGUUUGGAAAACGUCCACGUCGUGGCUCGUCAGAGGCUUCAAAUCCUGUCGACGGCAGCAGCUAUGUUGGAAGCGGCCUGGCUCCAAGACGGACUCCGACUCUGAUCCUGAGCCGCUGCGACGAACCGUACCGAAGCGAACAGGGCAAGCGCCGACAAUAAAAUGAGACGCGACACCACCGACUCCUUCCUCAAUCGAGAGUUCGAGAUCUAGAACUAGGGUUCCAAAAUCCCAAUAGACGAAAGGAAUCCCCAAAAUCUCCAGGCGCGGCAGCCCAGAUCCACCUACGGUCGGCGAGGAGGAUUUCAACAUGGUGAGCACCACCAACAACGCUGGUUGCAGAGGAGACGGGCGGUUUUUCUAAAGAGGCAGAGGCGGCGGCGGCAGUGGUUGUAGAGGAGACGUCUUCUUUUUCCAUGGAUGACAAGAAGGCACGUUCUCCUACGGUGGUGCAGGACUCUAAGGCCGUGGCCGAUGCGGAGGAGGCUGUUGCUGAUGCCAAGGCAGCAGCGGCCGCCGCCGGUGGCGACGGAGAGGACGAGUGCCCGACGUGGAUGACCUGGACGCAGUUCGUCGUGGCCAAUAAGAGGCUAUCCCGGGAGGAGAUUGAUUCAAUCCUGUCCCGGCAGCGGAAGCCUUUCGAGUCCACGGAUUUGUACGAGGAUAUGAUUGAGGACAGCUCUACUACUAAGGAGGAUCUUGAGCGUGAGGCUGCAGAUCACGAGUACCACGAGGACAAAUUAUCCGUGUGGCGGGACAGGGUGCGCAAGGAGUAUGCAGACAAGGGAUUCUUCGCGGUGGACGACGAUUAUAUUGCCGAGAGGCUCGAAUUGGAGGAAUAUUACAACCAGUCUGUGAGAGAAAUGCUCUCUGAGCUUAAUCUAGACGCGUCCAUCUUCGGUGACGAGUGAGCAAGACAAGGAAGUGAAGAUUAAUGUGGAGAUUUAUAUGUAAUCUACCCAGCUGGGAUGAUUGCAGACUAUAUGUCUAUCUUUGUUUUUUUUUAUAUCUAUCUUAUAUUCUUAAUUAUUUUUGUUGCCCUCCACCAAUGUAAUGGGUCUAUCCGUCUAUGAAGACAGUGUCUCUGUCUAUCUUAUUAGCAGCUAUGAUGCCCAAUGAGCAGUACAUGUUGCAGACCAGAAUGCUUUUGUUGAUUGAAAUGAUGUUUUCAAGGUCUUGGGUUCACCGAGCAUGAACUCUGGAUAAUCUUUAAUAUCAUAAAUUCAUAAUAUCGAUCUAUGGUGUUAUCCUUUUUCGUUUCUUAAUUUCUGUUGCUUCGACACCUCUUUUUUCUUCUGUUAUUAAUAUGUAUUAACCAGUUCAAUGCGCUGAUGACACUUUAUAUAAAAAUCCUGUUUACAACAAUGUGCUAUUAAUAUGCCGAGAGAUCCAAAUUCUAUGGUGUUAAUUUGUGCAGUCCUCUGUGUUACAACAAUGCGUUGUUCAAUUCUUCAUUGAAAGAUCUAGUAAGCUUGCAUGAACUGGCCUUUGUUCAGACAUGCUGCUAGAGAAACAGUGAUAGCUAACAUAAUUUCCUGGUGUGUGAAGCAACAUGUGGCGUUUAGUUAUUUUAAUUAUUAGCAACUACUCACUCUGUCCUGAAGGUAGUACUUCUAUUUUCAUAUAAGUAAAGUUGUAAUUUGUGUUACUAUAGACCCAAAUAGUUGCUUAGUAAAGCAUGCCCCAAAAGUCAGUAUUUAUGUAUAUAGUUAAGGGGAAAUAGUUGAGGUUUUGUGAUGUUAACCUUGCUAGAAAAUAUAGUUGCUGUUUUUCCCCUUUACAGUAAUCUUUUCUUUUUCCAAUGGGUUACAGUUUUCUUGAUCAAUCAAAAGUUUCAAGUAUAAUUGUUUGGUUAUUCGUUUUCGUUUGCUUUACAGUUGAAGUUUCUGAAUGCCUAGGACUGCAGGAUCAUAUUGCAUGAUAGAAUGAUGGCCAAGCAGCCCUUCAGUCUGAUUAAAAUCAAUUGGUGCUUUAUCAUUGUAUUGUCAUAUAGUCUUAUAGACUAUGGCUGAUAAUCUGGCUUGUCUCAUUACAGUUUGGGUGCACACUAACAUGAAGAUGCUGACAGGCAGAAUGACUUCUUGACUUCGGUGACGAGUGACCAAGAUGACGACUUCCUCGACAAGGAAGAAGGAAAGGCAGAUUAAUUUGCAAGAUGAACCCUUGUAUGACAUAUGAGGUCUUUCUGAGAGUUAAUUUGCAACCAAUUCUGCUAUUAAGGGAGCUCUGUACGUUUCCCCUAUAUUUUCUGAUAUCUAUGAAGGAAAGUGGUUUUCGUAUCUUACUGAAAAACAUUUGCCAUGUUGAUGGUCACAUGUGAAUUGUGAGUUUUGGAUACAGCUAGGAAGUACUUCAUACAUGAACAUUUUUACCAUGAAUAAGAGUUAAUUUUCCAUAAUCUUUAGUUACUUUCAGAUCUACGGCUAUCAUAAAAAAGUAUAGGAUUUUCAUAGGAGGGCACAUCAGCAUAAAUUACAAAUUGAUGUAUUGGAAACAGAGAAGGGGACUGCAACACUAGAAGCAAGAGCCUCUGUCAGGGAAUUUAGCUUUGAUGUCUUCAAAUUAGAGGACGGCAGGAAAUCCAUAGUACAUCCGUAGUUACAACAUCUUUGACCGAUAACCCUCGACCAAAGGAGCGACGCUCAAUACAAACAUGUAAAUAGUACUCCUAGGCCAAGGGGUAAUAGUGUAGCACCGCUAUAUUUUAAACUUAAACAAAGAUUCUAAAAGUAGAACAACAGCUUGCAUUUAGAUAACGUCUUUUUUCUUGUAUGAUCUCAAAUCAGAACUCUGUAACAUCAUUUCGGGUCUCAGAUUAGCUUAAACAAAUAAUGCAGUACAUACGAAGCAAAUAAAUGGCUGCUAGCAAAAGUUUAUUCACAGCAGAUGAAGCGCUCCAUUCCCCAGCAGAUUGUAAGUUCUUGUUGAUUGGUGAUGAGCACCCGGCACAGCAUCACUUCAGGGAACAUCCGCCAAGAAAGGAUCAGGAUCGCAGCAGGCGAACUAGACGAUCAAAAUCGCACAGAUAUUCAGUGAACAUGCUUACAGAUGGUAACAGCUGCCAUGAUGCAGGACUAGUGCUUCACAAUUAACAAGCAUUUGGGUUAAAAAAAAUAUCACAAGCGCUAUAUUUCUAGCCGUCGGAGAUAGUUCACCACCAGCUCGGAAGACAAAAGGGGAUGCUUGCAUACAUCCAAUCCAAAGGAUUUAGAUUCUGACUGCAAUGAACAUAUGAACAUACCCCUGUAUACUCGCAUAAUAUAUGGCUCCAUACUCCAGGAUGACUCCCAUAAAAGCCCAGUAACAGGAAAUUGAAAUUCCGCAAUCAACAACCACCAUAGAGCAAUAGCAGCAUAACAAACUGCAUACGACUAAAAAAGAGAAGUACGAGAUUGCCAGCAUGUAUCAAGCAUUGAAACCAGUGGCAGCAAAGCGUAAAGUGCAAUGACUGGAACGAAUCAGCAUACACUUGAUUCAUGGAGUGUUCAAGAGUACAAACAUAAUGUCAAAACUGGGUUUUGCCAAGUAACCAUCCUAGUCUCAUGCGUUUUUAUAGUGGUGAAGCUUGUAUAGAAGGACUUUUCCACCCGCGUGUCCAACAGACAAGAACCCGCUGCCAGGGCUGAAAUCCAGGCAACGUGGAUAGUGAAGGCUGAACCGAGGCCCUGGCCAGUUCUGGAACACGCUGAACGACGGGACAUGCACAAGCCUCAUCCCAUUCCUCUCUUUCCUUGAGCUGAUUGCCAAGAUCUGGGCAUCAUGGUUGAAUUUCAUUUCGCCAAUGUCAGUGGUCAGGUUUUCGAUCGUCUUCAGUGGCUUCCUCUUCCCACCAAGAAAAUCAUCCCUCUUGUACACAUUCACGAUGCCGCUGGUGGAGCCUGUGGCAAACAAAGAGCUGUCCUGCGAGGUGCAAAGUGAAAUGCCAGCCAGGGAACCAUCGUCAAAAGCCUUGUGGAUGCACUUCCUCGUUCCGAGAUCCCAGUGGUAAACAUGGCCAUCUCCACCGCUGCUCAGCAGCUGGUUUCCACCAUCCGCAAAAGCCAGUGAACGCACGCUUCCGUUCAUCUUGAGGGUUCCAAUGAGCUGCUUUGUCUUGGCAGAAAUAAGAAGGAUGUACCCUUCGUUACCGACAAAAGCAAUGGUUCUCGAAUCAGGUGAUAUCUCAAAGCUCUCCAGGCUUUUCUCCUCACGCCCCGUCAAAGGUCCAAUCUUGCUAACAGCAGCAUUCACCAGGUCAAAUGAGUAGAAGAACUUUCUCCUGCCUGAUAGCAUCACCUCAGAGCCAUCAGGUAGAAAUGAGGCCUUGUGUACUGGACAGUCCCCAAUGAAUAUGCUCUGGAUCUUGGGGUUUCUCUUUCCAUCAAUCUGGAAAAACCUGAGAUGCUUGUCCAAACCUGCAGCAAGCAUCAGCUGCCCAUUCCUAUGAAACUGCACUGAAUUGAUAGGACCACUUGAUGGAUCCUGGAUAUUGGCAUCAACAAGUCUUGAGAACUCUAACAUGCCCAGCUGUCAUGAUACGGGCUGUAUGGACAUCCCUAUGGUCAAGUAUUGCAGGUGUCAUCCUUGGUUUUUACUCCACCCACCCUAAAUCCGACCGUUGUCAUCCCUACCUCCACCUUGCUGCCGUCAAUGUUGGAAACGGGCCCUUCGUUGGAUCUUAGGCCUGGCCCAUCUAUGUUGGAAGCGGCCUGGCUCCAAGACGGACUCCGACUCUGAUCCUGAGCCGCUGCGACGAACCGUACCGAAGCGAACAGGGCAAGCGCCGACAAUAAAAUGAGACGCGACACCACCGACUCCUUCCUCAAUCGAGAGUUCGAGAUCUAGAACUAGGGUUCCAAAUCCCCAAUAGACGAAAGGAAUCCCCAAAGGCACUGGUUGCAGAGGAGACGGGCCUCUUUUUCUAAAGAGGCAGAGGCGGCGGCGGCGGCAGUGGUUGUAGAGGAGACGUCUUCUUUUUCCAUGGAUGACAAGAAGGCACGUUCUCCUACGGUGGUGCAGGACUCUGAGGCCGUGGCCGAUGCGGAGGAGGCUGUUGCUGAUGCCAAGGCAGCAGCGGCCGCCGCCGGUGGCGACGGAGAGGACGACUGCCCGACGUGGAUGACCUGGACGCAGUUCGUCGUGGCCAAUAAGAGGCUAUCCCGGGAGGAGAUUGAUUCAAUCCUGUCCCGGCAGCGGAAGCCUUUCGAGUCCACGGAUUUGUACGAGGAUAUGAUUGAGGACAGCUCUACUACUAAGGAGGAUCUUGAGCGUGAGGCUGCAGAUCACGAGUACCACGAGGACAAAUUAUCCGUGUGGCGGGACAGGGUGCGCAAGGAGUAUGCAGACAAGGGAUUCUUCGCGGUGGACGACGAUUAUAUUGCCGAGAGGCUCGAAUUGGAGGAAUAUUACAACCAGUCUGUGAGAGAAAUGCUCUCUGAGCUUAAUCUAGACGCGUCCAUCUUCGGUGACGAGUGAGCAAGACAAGGAAGUGAAGAUUAAUGUGGAGAUUUAUAUGUAAUCUACCCAGCUGGGAUGAUUGCAGACUAUAUGUCUAUCUUUGUUUUUUUUAUAUCUAUCUUAUAUUCUUAAUUAUUUUUGUUGCCCUCCACCAAUGUAAUGGGUCUAUCCGUCUAUGAAGACAGUGUCUCUGUCUAUCUUAUUAGCAGCUAUGAUGCCCAAUGAGCAGUACAUGUUGCAGACCAGAAUGCUUUUGUUGAUUGAAAUGAUGUUUUCAAGGUCUUGGGUUCACCGAGCAUGAACUCUGGAUAAUCUUUAAUAUCAUAAAUUCAUAAUAUCGAUCUAUGGUGUUAUCCUUUUUCGUUUCUUAAUUUCUGUUGCUUGGACACCUCUUUUUUCUUCUGUUAUUAAUAUGUAUUAACCAGUUCAAUGCGCUGAUGACACUUUAUAUAAAAAUCCUGUUUACAACAAUGCACUAUUAAUAUGCCGAGAGAUCCAAAUUCUAUGGUGCUAAUUUGUGCAGUCCUCUGUGUUACAACAAUGCGUUGUUCAAUUCUUCAUUGAAAGAUCUAGUAAGCUUGCAUGAACUGGCCUUUGUUCAGACAUGCUGCUAGAGAAACAGUGAUAGCUAACAUAAUUUCCUGGUGUGUGAAGCAACAUGUGGCGUUUAGUUAUUUUAAUUAUUAGCAACUACUCACUCUGUCCUGAAGGUAGUACUUCUAUUUUCAUAUAAGUAAAGUUGUAAUUUGUGUUACUAUAGACCCAAAUAGUUGCUUAGUAAAGCAUGCCCCAAAAGUCAGUAUUUAUGUAUAUAGUUAAGGGGAAAUAGUUGAGGUUUUGUGAUGUUAACCUUGCUAGAAAAUAUAGUUGCUGUUUUUCCCCUUUACAGUAAUCUUUUCUUUUUCCAAUGGGUUACAGUUUUCUUGAUCAAUCAAAAGUUUCAAGUAUAAUUGUUUGGUUAUUCGUUUUCGUUUGCUUUACAGUUGAAGUUUCUGAAUGCCUGGGACUGCAGGAUCAUAUUGCAUGAUAGAAUGAUGGCCAAGCAGCCCUUCAGUCUGAUUAAAAUCAAUUGGUGCUUUAUCAUUGUAUUGUCAUAUAGUCUUAUAGACUAUGGCUGAUAAUCUGGCUUGUCUCAUUACAGUUUGGGUGCACACUAACAUGAAGAUGCUGACAGGCAGAAUGACUUCUUGACUUCGGUGACGAGUGACCAAGAUGACGACUUCCUCGACAAGGAAGAAGGAAAGGCAGAUUAAUUUGCAAGAUGAACCCUUGUAUGACAUAUUAGGUCUUUCUGAGAGUUAAUUUGCAACCAAUUCUGCUAUUAAGGGAGCUCUGUACGUUUCCCCUAUAUUUUCUGAUAUCUAUGAAGGAAAGUGGUUUUCGUAUCUUACUGAAAAACAUUUGCCAUGUUGAUGGUCACAUGUGAAUUGUGAGUUUUGGAUACAGCUAGGAAGUACUUCAUACAUGAACAUUUUUACCAUGAAUAAGAGUUAAUUUUCCAUAAUCUUUAGUUACUUUCAGAUCUACGGCUAUCAUAAAAAAGUAUAGGAUUUUCAUAGGAGGGCACAUCAGCAUAAAUUACAAAUUGAUGUAUUGGAAACAGAGAAGGGGACUGCAACACUAGAAGCAAGAGCCUCUGUCAGGGAAUUUAGCUUUGAUGUCUUCAAAUUAGACGACGGCAGGAAAUCCAUAGUACAUCCGUAGUUACAACAUCAUUGACCGAUAACCCUCGACCAAAGGAGCGACGCUCAAUACAAACAUGUAAAUAGUACUCCUAGGCCAAAGGGGUAAUAGUGUAGCACCGCUAUAUUUUAAACUUAAACAAAGAUUCUAAAAGUAGAACAACAGCUUGCAUUUAGAUAACGUCUUUUUUCUUGUAUGAUCUCAAAUCAGAACUCUGUAACAUCAUUUCGGGUCUCAGAUUAGCUUAAACAAACAAUGCAGUACAUACGAAGCAAAUAAAUGGCUGCUAGCAAAAGUUUAUUCACAGCAGAUGAAGCGCUCCAUUCCCCAGCAGAUUGUAAGUUCUUAUUGAUUGGUGAUGAGCACCCGGCACAGCAUCACUUCAGGGAACAUCCGCCAAGAAAGGAUCAGGGUCGCAGCAGGCGAACUAGACGAUCAAAACCGCACAGAUAUUCAGUGAACAUGCUUACAGAUGGUAACAGCUGCCAUGAUGCAGGACUAGUGCUUCACAAUUAACAAGCAUUUGGGUUAAAAAAAAUAUCACAAGCGCUAUAUUUCUAGCCGUCGGAGAUAGUUCACCACCAGCUCGGAAGACAAAAGGGGAUGCUUGCAUACAUCCAAUCCAAAGGAUUCAGAGUCUGACUGCAAUGAACAUACCCAUGUAUACUCACAUAAUAUAUGGCUCCAGACUCCAGGAUGACUCCCAUAAGCCCAGUAACAGGAAACUGAAAUUCCGCAAUCAACAACCACCAUAGAGCAAUAGCAGCAUAACAAACUGCAUACGACUAAAAAAGAGAAGUACGAGAUUGCCAGCAUGUAUCAAGCAUUGAAACCAGUGGCAGCAAAGCGUAAAGUGCAAUGACUGGAACGAAUCAGCAUACACUUGAUUCAUGGAGUGUUCAAGAGUACAAACAUAAUGCCAAAACUGGGUUUUGCCAAGUAACCAUCCUAGUCUCAUGCGUUUUUAUAGUGGUGAAGCUUGUAUAGAAGGACUUUUCCACCCGCGUGUCCAACAGACAAGAACCCGCUGCCAGGGCUGAAAUCCAGGCACCGUGGAUAGUGAAGGCUGAACCGAGGCCCUGGCCAGUUCUGGAACACGCUGAACGACGGGACGUGCACAAGCCUCAUCCCAUUCCUCUCUUUCCUUGAGCUGAUUGCCAAGAUCUGGGCAUCAUGGUUGAAUUUCAUUUCGCCAAUGUCAGUGGUCAGGUUUUCGAUUGUCUUCAGUGGCUUCCUCUUCCCACCAAGAAAAUCAUCCCUCUUGUACACAUUCACGAUGCCGCUGGUGGAGCCUGUGGCAAACAAAGAGCUGUCCUGCGAGGUGCAAAUUGAAAUGCCAGCCAGGGAACCAUCGUCAAAAGCCUUGUGGAUGCACUUCCUCGUUCCGAGAUCCCAGUGGUAAACAUGGCCAUCUCCACCGCUGCUCAGCAGCUGGUUUCCACCAUCCGCAAAAGCCAGUGAACGCACGCUUCCGUUCAUCUUGAGGGUUCCAAUGAGCUGCUUUGUCUUGGCAGAAAUAAGAAGGAUGUACCCUUCGUUACCGACAAAAGCAAUGGUUCUCGAAUCAGGUGAUAUCUCAAAGCUCUCCAGGCUUUUCUCCUCACGCCCCGUCAAAGGUCCAAUCUUGCUAACAGCAGCAUUCACCAGGUCAAAUGAGUAGAAGAACUUUCUCCUGCCUGAUAGGAUCACCUCAGAGCCAUCAGGUAGAAAUGAGGCCUUGUGUACUGGACAGUCCCCAAUGAAUAUGCUCUGGAUCUUGGGGUUUCUCUUUCCAUCAAUCUGGAAAAACCUGAGAUGCUUGUCCAAACCUGCAGCAAGCAUCAGCUGCCCAUUCCUAUGAAACUGCACUGAAUUGAUAGGACCACUUGAUGGAUCCUGGAUAUUGGCAUCAACAAGUCUUGAGAACUCUAACAUCCCAGGUAAGAGCUUGACAGUAUCCUUGACAACAAGCUCAUCGUUAUUUUGAAGGAUAUCAUCAACACAACCCUCAUCAUCAGACUCACCAUCUGACGCGGCAGGAAGAGAAGUUUUCCGGUCCAUAUCAGCCCAGCCAGUGAAGGGGUUCAAUUUGGCAUGCUGACCACGCAGCCUGGCCUCAUACUCUUUCCCUGAAAUCAAAUGCUCAUCUUCCUCUUUUCUUAGCUUCCUCAACCUUGAAACCUUCACGAUGUCCACUUCUGUCCUUUCUUCUUCCUCAUCCACCCAUACAGGCUUCCUCCCCUUGAUACGCACCACAUCUUCCUCAUCUUCAUGGGCCAUAUCCUCCUCAUAUAUAGGAAAAUGAUCCACGCCACCACCAGCGGACCUAUCUGUGAAAAACAAAGGCGCAUCCCGGUCAGGAGCUACUACUGCAGCCCCAGCCUCAGUGCCAAACUCCAGUGGCGCAUAAAGGGAACCAAACAAUGAGCUCUCCAGCUGCCGCAUCUCCUCUUCCUCUUUGUUCUGCUGGGACUCCUGCACCUUAGUCCUUUUCUUCUUCCUUUCCUUAUUGUGAUUCUUCAACUUUGCUUCCUUCCCAACCUCUGCAUCUAUGGAGGUCGGAGAGCCAAUGUUCUCGUCAUUGCCAUCAUCAGCUUCACUUUUCUUGAGGCGGCGCUUCUGGACCGCGUUCUGGGAUAUCAAGCUCAUCUUUCCUGAAGAAUUAGUCUGCCAAAACAACAAAGUCCUGUCAAAAUCAUCACAAUAACAUAAAUCAUACAACUUCUAAUAGGGCCUGUUUGGUUCCCCUUGCUAAAUUUUAGCCAACUAAAAUUAUUUUAGCUAUUCUUGGGUGACUAAUGGAACUAAACUAUUUUAGCUCCUUUUUAGUCAGUGUGUUUGGAACUUUAGCUACUAAAGUGACUAAAGGUUAGUUGCCUAAAAUUUAGUAAGGGGAACCAAACAGGCCCAUAGUUAUGCAUUUGGAUAUAAAAGCUACAACAGAUCAAUAGCCUCAUAAACCAAGACAUGCAAAACAAAUCAAUGGUGCACACAUAGAUAAAGUACAGGUUCCUGGGUCCUAUGUAUAAACUAUAAACUACUAUGCACCAAGGAUAAAUAAGCAUGUUUUUUUUGGGUUAAAGCAGUAGCAACAUAGCAUUAGCAUUAAAAUUGUCAUUCAUUCUUGCAUUGUGCCAUUUUGCUAAUCUUUUCUAGAUUUCUAAUAAGCCAAACACUGAAGCAGCCAGGCAACCUGCUGUAGCUGCUGGCUCCCUCCACAAUCAGACCAAGUGACCAGACAAUUUGACUACAGGAGAAGGUCAGGAAGGGAAUACAAGAGAGGGAACAGAGAAUAAACUGGCCAUGGACUUGCAGGUACUAGAUGUGUAGUCCCUGACUCUUAAACACAAACAAACAGGACGUCUAGAACUCCACUCUAUGAAGGAGAGUUAUGAGUAGUUUCUCUCGGAAAGUGCAUCAGAUUGGUCAUCCAAACUAGAUAAUGGAUAGUUCAGAGGAAACAUGACAGAUGUCGCAGGACCAUGACAACAAUUAGUAGUUCAAUAUGAUUGUAGAUGAGCAAAUUAACAUGAUCCUACUAUACAGCUUAACAUGUCAUGAGAUCAAGAACCCAAAGAAAUAGGUCUCAAUCUAUCUCAACAACACUGAAUGAUGAUAAGACGAAUGAAACAUUACAUAAACAAGUCCAGCAAAUGAGCACAAUCAGCAAGACAUCAUGAAGUUCAGAGCGUGCAGUAAAAUAUCAGCUUACUCAAUUGGGAGGGGGAUUAAAAAAUACCCAACGCUAAUGUGUCUUAAGAUUAUAAUUUCCAAAACUUAAUAAACAAAAAAAAAAAGACUGCGAUUUGCAAUCCUGUGGCUAAAACUUGAAAAUUCUACUGUGUUAUGCUUGCUUGGCAUUGGUUAUACUUGACACCACAGCUAUUUGAAAGUACCGAUGAAUCUUUAUCUUUAUUAUAAAAGAAUGAAAUGGCUGAGAACAGAACUCCCUUCUCCACAAUAAAUACAAUCUCUGGAGUGCAUAACAACAUGGUAGGAAACUCAAAUGCUCACCCCAAAAAAAUGCUAAAUGGGACCUGUAAAAUGCUAAACUUAACCUUGUCACCAGUUCAAAAGAGCAAGACAAUACAGUGCCAGAUAUGCGCAUACACAAUCCUGAGUCCUGAUCAUGGGCAUGGAGCAAAUUCGCGUCUAGAACAUAUGGCUCUUCCAACCAAACAGAGCUCGAGACCUCCUGAUUCACUGCUACCGAAUUCAAAGCUUGUGAACUAUGGCGGGGGAUUCGGGCUCACCUUCAGAGGACCGGAGGGGAUGGAUGAAGACGGCAGGACCCGUGUGGGUGCGACAGUGGAGCGGUGGAGGGAGAGAGCGGGAGAGGCGCGAGCAGCGGCGGCGUGCGGUGAAGUUGGGGCGUGGCCGACUUGGGGGGUGCGGACGCGGCGUGCGGUGCGGCUGAGGCUAGGGUUAUACCGUGGGCUGGGCCUUACUGCGGCUGCUUUCGUGGUCCUCACUGCGGCUGCUUUCGUAGUAGAGCCGUGGCCCAUGGGCCCGUAGGGCAAAAAUCCUACCCCACAUGAGCCGUGUUGCUGAGAUUUAUUAGAGGGCGCAAUGUGCAAACUAAGCUGACUUUGAGUAGCUUUGCAUGUUUCUGUUCGGAGCUAAUUUGAUCUUGGCAUGACCAGGAACAAUUUGCACAUGCAUGCGUAUCAAAAUACAAUCAGCGUAGCGAAAUGCAAAGGCAAAAAAAUAAUGUAAAAAAACCAAGCACGCCAGAUGGCCAAGGUCCAUUAUCAUCUGAUGAAGAGUUCAGCGGAACAACGAAAUAUGAGUCAGUUCGAACAUCCUCUACGUACCCAGAUACUGCAAUGCUCCAAGAAAAUACAUCACUGGAACCCUCAACAGCACUACGCUACUAUUCUCAAGAGGGACGAGACGGGGCUGUUUUAAUGUUUUAUUACAUGACAUCCUGUACAUUACUGGAGGGACCUAGUGAAAUAACAAUCGCUCCCAAAUGGGGCGAGGCAGUGGGGCUACGAGACAACGCGAAAUCAAAGCCCCAACAGCUAGUGGAUAACAUGCUCCAAUUGGCUAAACAAUAAUUCUUCUCAAUUUUCUAGGGCUUCAAAAAACAAAAGAAAACUACUGCUGUGCCCGGUGUAUGCGGGGAGUGAUUGCUCCGACGUUCCUGGUCAUCUAAUGUUUACUCCCAUACAGGAUUUAGGUCUUUAGGGGAGACAGGUCUAUGUUUUAUUUGGGACGCUUGCGGUAAGGCUGCAUCAUAUCACCCACAGUGUCUUUGAUGUAGGUCCCAACUCUAUUCAGGUUCUUAGCCACACCAUUCGCCACAAGCCCUGCAUUCCUCUGAAAUCUGCGUUCAAAGACAGUUGUUGAAAUGCUAAUGCGAAUUUCAGAACUUACAAAUUCAUAUAUAAACCAAAAUACCAACUCACUUAGUUAAGAAAUCAUCUCCCACGUGCCCUGGUUGCCCUGGUUUGUAAUGACGUCGUUUUAGAUCUGUGGAAUUAUACAGAUGAGUAGAAGUUUUGAGAACAGAAACAAUGUGAAUCCUGCAGGCAGAUAAUUACAAAAUAAUGCAAGAAAGAAGCAUGUUUCAAACACGCAAAACAGCAAAAGUAAUGCUUAAAGCACACAGGAGACAGACAAGAUACUUGGUAAUCAGAUAUUUUUCACAGUUUCACCAAUGACGCGUGUAGUUUUAGGACCAAGUGCAUAUAAAUCAGAACUAAAAAUCAAAUAGCAUUGACAGUGUAUUUCAGGUAAAAUGCACAUGAUGGUAGAUUGAUCAACUAGAAAUUAAUAUAUUUGAAUAAGCAAGUGCAACACAUUAAGCACCUCUGUCAGUGACCAAACAUUCGAACUUUUCAAGCAUAUAUAUUGUGGUAGCUUUGCCAACACUCUCACGGUGUAACUGGUCAGCACAACACGCCAAAGAAGCGGUUGGCUGAGCCAGCCCGGGUUCGAGUCAUGGGACCAUCUGGUCGAGUUUUUUUUUGUUUAUAUAUUGUGGCAGCUUUGCAGUUUCUAACAGAAGACAAUGUUUUCUUACCUUCUUUCUUAACAUUUGUUGGGACUUUUCUAUCUGCCAAUAGCUGGAAAAGGGGAAAAGAUAUUCUUUGUUAGCAAAAUAGACAUGUGAAUGAUCAUAAGACGCAAUUUAACUUAUAGCUACAAAACACUAGCUGAGCAGUUCAAACAGUCAGUGCAGAAUAAAUCUGGAGGAAAAACAAGACAGAUUUCAGAAUAGAAUGACCGCAUUUAUUUGUACUGUGGUUGCGAAAAGAAAAGCUUGCAUGAUUAUUGUAAGAAACAUAUAAGUUAUGAAGAUAACAAAUUGACAUGAAUAUUCAUCCCACCAUUCUGACAUUCAUCAACAUAACUAAAGCUCAAUUUUCUCAUUAGAUCCUGAGUCACAAUCAUCUCUGGUACAUCAGCUAUAGUUGGAUAAUGUUCACACUUAACAACAUUGAAGACACCAUUGUGCCUAACUGCUUCCUUAUCCAUCAUGUCACUCUGACAUGGUCCUGACUUGUGAAUGCAUCAUAAAUGCAUAGGAAUUACUUGGUUAAGCAGAUAUUACCUCAACUCCAGCACAAACAGGUAGUUGUGCACGUGCCUUAUCUCGUAUCCCUGUGGGAGUUUCCUUGUCAUCUAAGUACAUUGAAUAGCCAAUGCAUCCAUAUCUGAAAUCUGCAAGAUAGCGACCUUCUUGGAUAGCUUCCAGUUCAAGUUCUCCAACCAUACGCUCAGAAACUGAUACACAGUUAAGAGGAAGGAAAUAGUCAAUCAAACAGUUAAAAAAGAAUGGAAUCAGAUAAGAAAAUAGACAGACCAUGAAACGGAGUUCAAGAGUAAUACUGCUCUCCUUACUUGAUAAGACAAUAAAUCAAGUAUAUAUGUUAUAGACACAGGUAAUUUUGCAGUGAGUCACAGGAGAGCCUUAGCACAAUUUUACAGGACAGAUCAAAGUUUAGAUUGUCUAUAACCUACGCUUUUGGUUGGUAGUUAACUAGCAUUAACAAUUGCACAGGAGUUUAUAGAUGAACUCAAGUGUGUCAAUUAUAUUUUUCAACUCAACAGAAGAAAUUCCCCUAAUAGUAGAUCUAACCUAAUGCUAUUCGGUGGGAUAAUCUGGGACCCUAAAACUGUACAGAAAAGCUUAUAUUUCCCGGAACUUUUGGGGACAGCUAGUAGCACACAAUCCUAAUAGCACCUAUCAUACAUACAAGGUGGGAGAACCCAACAAAAUCUCAAAUUGAACGCCUCAUCAUGGAACAAAGUUACAUCUUACACAAUGUAAUGAGCCAAUGCAAAAACCCUAGCACCUAUCAUACAUACAAGGGUUAAGACUAAAUUGCACAAAGGUAAUACUUGGUAGAGAACCUCAUGUGAACCAUAUGCACCAAGCCAAGCCAUAUAGAAUAGUUCAAAUUUCGCACUGCUGAAAGCCUACUCAUUUGGUUGUCAUUUUUCAUUGCUCUGUGACCUAGCUGUAACAUAGGGCUAAAGAGUUUACAUCUAAACCUGUGUGGAUAAUGGAUUAAUCAGGUUUGAUGGAUGAUAAGCCCUGAUAUUACACCUUUCCUAGCACAACUUGAGACCAUAUACAGAACAUCCCUUUGACAGAAAGGGAUUCAUAGAUGCUGAGUGAGCAGCAGAGAGGCAACCAAGAGGAAACCACUACCCAGCAGGCCGCCACUCACAGCGGCGAACCCAGUAAAAGCGAGGGGGAUUUGGAUGCUGUGGCUGGCCGAAUCAGCAAAACCCUAGCGCAGGCAGAGACAGGGGGUUUAGUGGCCGGAGAGGCGCGGCUACCUUGGGGAAUGGCGCGGGUGACGCCGACGCAGACGGGGCCACGCGCUCGCGACCUGAGCGCCGACGAGUAGUAGAGGCAGCCCUUGCAGGACUUCCCCUUCACCAUCCCUCCUCCUGCCCCCGCUCCCGCUGGCGCUGCCGCUCCCCCUCUCGCCGCCGGCGUGGGGGCGCCCGCCUCCCCGGCAGCGCGCUCCAUGGCCGGGCCACGGGCGGCUGGGGCGCGCGGCGUCGGGAGAGGGGUUGCGGCGGAAUGGGCGGAUCGGCAACCGCGUCGGGAGGCGCAGGCGGUGGCGGCGUGAACUCGAACAGAAAUGCUAGGCGUUCGCUGCUGCCGAGGUUUUUACGCCACGGCUUCCAAACGAGACCACGUAUUGGCCUUUUGCAAGUGUAGCAUAGACUUGCGCACAUUGGACACACACCACAGGCCACGACGUGCCGGCAAAAUGAAUAAAUAAAUAAAUAAAUAAUCGAACAAGGUGUUUUUCCAUCAACAAAUCAACAUAAUUUUAAUAUGAAUUUUGAAUCUCCGUGAAAAACUACUUAUUUAAACCAUCACGAUUGCUUAAAAGCAAAGCGACUCAUGCUUCGCGUCGCGGCUAUGGUUCUAGCAAAACCUGACUCUCCCUUUUUUUCAUCUUCAUCUUUAAUGGACAUCAAAGGAUUUCACGAGAAAAAGACCGGCCAAGCGCUAGGGGCGGUGGGAGAGUGGCUUAGGGGUCUUAAAGUCGAUGGAGCUGACCAGGCUAGGUCAAGCCGGGGGCGUCGCGGCAAGCUCGUCGGUGCCGUUAGGGUUAGAGUGGGCGGGGUCAAGGGGCAAGGACGACACGGCAAGUAUGGGCGCCGAUCGCAGGGGUGGGGCGGGACGAGGAUGAACACGAGCCUGCACGUGAACGGCACGAGGAAGAAGAAAGCUCUAGACGCGAACAAGAGAAGGAAGAAAGCACACCUAGUCAUUGGAUGUUGUUUGUAAAACCAUGGCUGACUGUUCGUUGAUUUGUUAUGAGAAAAAAUACUGUUGAAUGACUGAUAUCAGAAAAUAAGUCCAACUGACCAGACUCAUAGAUCUUGUGGUCUAGAUUGUUAACUGCCAAUUAAACAAUUGUUCAGUCACCUGCCAAGGAUAUACUAUCUUUUCUUAAACUAUCUCAAGCACCAAUAUUUCAACUGUCCUUAUAUUUGGAAUAAAAUCUAAUCACUAGGGAUCAUUAUAUAUAUAUAUAUAUAUAUAUAUAUAUAUAUAUAUAUAUAUAUAUAUAUAUAUAUAUAUAUAUAUAUAUAUAUAUAUAUAUAUAUAUAUCUUAGGAUGCAUCGGAGGGAGUAUAAUAUAGAUUUUUUUACCAAAAAAACAUAACAAUAAUUUUUUCAAGGCGAUGAUCAUCAAACCUCUCUCUCUUGUUAGAUUUUCACGUACUACUUUUUUUUUUUGGAACCACCAUAACCGUAACUCAUGAUGACUAUCACGAAUUAGUGUUCUAGAUAAAAGUUUCGUUUAAGGGGGUGUUUGGUUAGGAUAUUAAAGCUUAAUAGGUACUAUAGCAUUUUCGUCUUAUUUGACAAUUAGUAUUCAAUCAUAGACUAAUUAGAUUUAAAAGAUUUAUCUUGCAAAUUACUUUCUAGCUGUAUUUUUCGUAAAUAGUCUCUGACAAGAGUUAAACUUUAGUACUCCAUGUGUGUGUCCAAAUAUUCAAUGUAACAGAAGUUAAACUUUAUUAGCGUCAACCAAACGGGGCCUAAGUUUUCUUCUGUUGUGUUCUUGACUUCCAAGCCAAACAUUGGCAAAAGGAUAUAAUAAGCAGCCUGUAAUAAAAUCUGCCAUCUACAAUUCUACAAGCAUGCACAUUGUCAACACAAGCUUGCUACGGAUUGUAGCAGCACAAAGGUGUAUCUUUUUUUGAAAAGGCUCUUACAAAACAAAACCAAUAUAGAAAUAUAAGCAGUUUAUUCAUGAUAUCUUGGAUCGUUGUAUGACACAUCUCUUAUCUUAGUUUUCGACAGACUAAUAAGACUUGCAGUCCAUCCUUGUUUGCCUUUGAAGGGUUUGUGGAAUCAAGGGAUCGAUGCACUGUGAUUUCUGGACAAUUCCGACGAACUAUUUGCCAGAUUCUUGUUCUGGACAGAAGAAGCUGUGGCUGAGAUAGGCAUAGCGGGUGCGACUGCCAUCUGUGUUUCCACAUUGAAGCUAAGGUCCUCGUUCAGUCGCCAGUUGCCAGUAUCAACACAGAUUUCUUCAAGAACGCUGGCAUGGUCAGCGAAGAAUUUGAUAAGCCGCAGUCCAAGGCAGCUGGAGAUGGAGUUGUUUUCCAGUCGAAACUGCAGGCCGACUCUUCUCAGAGUGCGUUGCAAGCACGCGAACGAGCGGCCACUGAGACCAAGGAUACCAGGAACAUCUUCAAGAACGCAGUCCAAGGUCGUCUUUGAUCCUUUCCGGCACAUGAAGCGAUCGAUGGACUUGUUGUAGUCCAAUCUAUCUUUCCGUUCUAAGAAAUCACGUCCAUAUCGUGGGUCCUUGUCAGGGAGAGCCGUCAUAGUAGUGCCCAGCUUCAGCAUGAUUUCACCAAGAACAGGGCAACAAUGGAGCAAGUUGGCAAUGGCCGCGGCCGCCGUCUUGAUCUUGGGACGAUGCAUCCCUUCCAGCUCGAGGCGCUCCAAGCUGGGGAACGUACACUGCACGAGGCUGGCGCAACUCACCUCGCCAAUGUCGGCGAUGUCCUUGAGGUCGUCUCUCACCUUGAGCUUGAGGGUCCUAGCAUUGGUGAAGUUGCGCACAAACUGCCAGAAAAGCACGCGUCUUGUUUGUUUCUCGUCGUCGUCCCGGAGGAAGUGCAGGUCCACCCGUGCAACACCAGGCGGUGUCGCCGCCGCCGCCGGUCGUAGCAUGAAUCGUCGCAUGAGACCCUUAUAUUUGAAGGACUGCAGCCUUGGUGCAUCGAUCUUGAUUGCCCAGCUGCUCUUGCCGCGGCGGCGAUCCCCUGGUUCUUUGCCGCACAACGAAAGCACGAGCGUGGUCACAGCCUGGAAGCUCAGGCGGAGCACCGCUGGUUCUGCUUCUGCUCCGUCGAGUUCAUCAGGGUGGGGCAACAAGAAGAAGAGAGACUCCAGUCGCACGGUGGUGAGCUCCGGCGCGGCGUCCAGCAGGGCCUGGAGAACCUUGGACUCGACGGCGCAGUACCUUAGCCGCAACGUCGCCAGCCGUGGGAGUGGGAAGGCAGCCAUCAGAUUCAGGGCACAUCUGGUGAGGUCGAGCACGCGAAGGGUCUCCGACGACGGGAGGGAGGCGACCCCAUAGAUCCCCGUGUGCCUGUGGUUCUCUUUCUCAAGGUAAAGGAAGGCGCCGUCGGAGGAGACGUCGACGGCGGCGACGCGGAGCUCCUCAACGCGGCGCGCCGCUUGGUGGGAGACUAGAGCGCCGACCACGUUGGCAUCGUCUGUGCGCCAGCCCCCUCUGCCAUAGCAGAGGAACUGCUCGACGGCGCUCUCCCCGUCGUUGGACUCCACGCGCAGGGUGAGCCUUGUGAUCAGACCGGAAAUUCCGUAACUAGCAGCGGCCGUGCAGCCUAUCUACACGGUCACAGUUCUCUCGAGAUUUGCGCUGGCCCCAGCAUUGCAUGUCACUUUAUAUUUGUUUAUUAAGGUGGGAUCCACUUUGGUCAACUUCCCUCUCGCCUGAUUCGAGAAAAUGCCUGGCUCCAGUUUGUUUUUUCUGCCUGGGUGCCUGGCACGUUUUUUUCUGCCUGCCUUCUUCACGGUGUGCGGACUCCACUUUUCUGCCUGCCUUUUUCCCCCCUUCGCUAUACUAUUCCAUUCCGCAUCCGACCAACACGCAAAGCUGCUUCUCUCAGUUCGUCGUCAACCCUAGAUCCCCAAUCUCUAUCCUUCUCCUACCUUCAAUGUCGCCUAGCGGCGCUGCCAUAGAUCCCGGUGAGGGGAACCCGAGCAGAAUCCACGCUCGAAGGAUUCAGACUAGUGGUUUCUUGUUUCUGGCGAAGUGGUCCAAUUCCAAUCGGCUGCCAGUACGGUGCUGGACCGGCAUGUGGCGCUGCCUUCCUGGGCAGGUCCGCAGGUGGGGUCUCCACUGUCUAGGAGCUUCAACAUUUACUCGCCUCACUCCUCACUAACCUUUCAUUUCCGAUUUGUAUGUGUUUACUUACUGAUUUAUCCUUCUUCUGCUGGAUCUGGUAUUCCAGGUUCAUUUUUUGUUCUAUAUGUUUAAUAGCUGUUUUUAGGGUUCUGUUCUUGUUCAUUACAUUCAGAUAGUUCUGACGUUAUGUACUGUGUUUUUCUCCAUGGAUUUAUGUCAUCUCAGUAUAAUGAAUCCCUAUUUUGCCAAUAGUAGCUAGCUCGCAUGUAUUCGUUUUGCUUGUAACCAAUGUACAUCUAAUUUAAAUAAUUUCCCAUCACAUUAUGAUCUUAACCACCCGUUUGUAACAUAAUGCCAUCUUACCCUUAAUGUAAAAUCUAGUACAUGGCUUCUAAACUUUUACAUUUGUUUGAUGUAAACUUUAUUCUAGCUAGGUGCUUAUAUUAUUUUUCCUAUCCUUUUUUUUUCUCCAUAACAUGUCCUAACAUGGAUGUGUAGCAAAGAUAAUCCAUUUUUUUUAAAAAAAAAUUGCCUCGGUGUGUUAAAAUUAAAUUGAGAUUGUUAUAUUGGUUCAUGUACGCCCUCAUAGAUAUCUAUUUGUCAGUUAUACUCUUAGUUACCCCUUUACACGGACUGAAUAUCAGUAUAAGGUUCUGUUUCAAGCUAAUUACCUGAAGGUGGGGACAUGACCUUUUAAUUAAACCAGUGUUCUGAGUUUUUUUUGGAGAUCCAUCCCGUGUACUGCUUCCUUCCUCUCGGAAUUUCCUUUGCUCCUCUCCUAUAUGGCGAUAUUUUGGUUUCCCAGUGGCUGCUUCUCAGCUUCUUCCCGCCGAGAAGGCAUGUGGAGCAGGUGUACGCAUGUUUUUUUUUAGCACCUUCACCUUCCGUUUACUUCUUCUUUGCGGCUGCUUCUCAACUUCUUUUUGUUUUUUGUGGUUGGUACAUUUUCAUUUGUCAUAGAGAUUAUGUACAGUUUAUUGCUUUAGUUUUCCUGAAAUCAUCCUUCUAAUUGUUGAGAAGUGUUCUGCAGCUAUGUUCCUUUUCCUUUUCUUAUUUAAAGAUCUGUCCUUUAUCCUUUUGAUUUGAAGACGUUUUAUUCAUCCCUAUAUAUAUUGUGAUAUAUUUUGUUCUAUACAGAUUUCCCUGUUCUCCUGAAGCAUUUAUACUGCUUUGUUCACCUCCCUAUAUACAAUUCUUCUUCUAUAUUUAAUCACGGACAAUUCUUCUUCUAUAUUUAAUCACGGUGAAAGUAAGGUACUGAUUCAUUUUUUAAUGCACAAUAAUUUUGUAGAAGUUCUUCAUUCAGAUUUUGUUCCAGUUAAAUAUGAAAUAUAUAGCAUGAUGUACUUUAGUUUAUACUAGAUUAGAGCUCUACUGCGAUAUACUUAUGCUGAUAGAUCAGGCUGGUCCUUUGUGAUGUGAAGUCCUUGUAGCCAUUCUCCUUAAACAUUUAUUUUUUACUUUUCUCGUUUUCAGUGUUACCAAAGGCUUCACUUUUAAUCACACUUGAAUUAAGCUAUUUGUUAGUCUAUCGAAGUAUAGUUAUUUUAUAUAACUUUCUUAAUCAUGCAAUUAAACAUUUUAGCAUUAGGUUAGUGGAAGAUCUUACUUUGUCCUAGUUCGUAGGUACACUUGAAAUUUUUUCAUUUCUAUUAAUUUUUGAGUUUCAUGGAAAUAUUGUGUUGUCCUUCUGUUAUAGCUAUCUUGUUAUUUUUAUAUAUUAUUAAUUCAUGGUAAUAGUAUUAUUUUUAGUUACACUUCCUCUUAAUGAAAACCGGGCUGAACCCCCAAUAUAGAAACUAAAAUUUUAGUUACACUUCGUACUUAGCAUUUACAUCACUAGUAAUUGUAUGAUAUCCUUUUAUAACAAAAGAUUUCUACAUUGAUAGUUAUUUAUUUGUACUCUAUUUCUAUUGAAAGGAAGCUUGAAAUGAACCUGUUUGCUUCGCCAAAAAAUUAUUAAAUUAAUUCUUGGCCAUGCACAAACAAUCCUUUUAUGGUAUCUAGUUAGAUAUCUGAAUCUAACCAGCACAGUAGAAUUACUUUCCGGAUUCAGUUUCCGAAGUACAACAGUCUUUUGGUAAGCUAUGCAUGUUGCUUGCUUAGUAUACAUGUUAUUUUGGUGCUGCCGCUUUCUUGCUCUAGCACCCUAAGAUGAAAUACAUGGUUUACUGUUGCUUACAGCAUGUGAUCAUCUGUCAUUGCAGCUUUAAUUCCGAAUUAUCCUCGUGGUUCCUGUGUUGUUCUAUAAGCGCUUAUAUGUCAGUGUAAUCAUAGGCACAACCAAACUUACAUGUACAGAAACAAAUCUGAAAAAAUGUUAGCAUCUACUCAUGUUUUAGGACCAUGUUGCAAUUUGUGAUAUUGCAGGCAGCAUAGUUUGCAUAAUAUAUAGACAUUUCCUCAUUCCACAGUCUGGAGUUCCAUAGAUUUGAAAUAGUUUGAUUUUUUUUAAGGAACAAUUUGAAAUUGUUUAAUUUAAUGCAUAUUCUUCACAGGUUUGGAGUUGCACGAUGUGAAUAUUUGUGGCAACUGCCUCUACUGUCUUCAGUUGAUGGCUUGACACCCACGAUUUCUCCUUAGUUUGCUAAGUUGCCUAAUCUUACUUACAUAUAUACUGAAUUUGUGCAUUAAGAUGUAUGCACCAUUAAGCUUAAAAAAGUUUAACCGGCAAGAAAAUUAUAUGCGACACUUAUUUGGGACAAAGGGAGUAUUUUAGAACAUCACAUCAAUACUAUCUAUGAGCUCAAUAUACUCUCUCUGUUCCUCUCUCUGUUCCAAAAUAAGUACACAUCGCGCCUUCGAGAAGCCAAAUAAAUCUUAGGUUUAACUUGAUUUAUAAAUAAUAAUAAUAAUAUUUGUACCUCUAAAAAGAUUAGCAAAAACAUAUAUGAUUGAUUAAUCUAAUGGUAAUUAUUUGAUAUUACAAAUUGUAGUAUUUUUUAUGUAGAUUUAGUCAAACUUAAGUUUGUUCGACUCCUAGAAGUACGAGAUAUACAUUUAUUUUGGUACGGUAAGUGUACUCCAUCCGUCCUAAAAUAAAUGUUGUUCUCGCUUUCUCAGAAAUGAUUUUAACUUUAAUCAAAUAUAUAUAAUAGUAGUAAACUAAUAACAACAAUAGUACAUAAUUAGUAUGAAGAUAAUUUAUUCUAUUUUUACAAUAGACUUAAUUAGAAAUACAAAUGUUGCUAAUAUUUUUAUAAAUCAAUCGAACUUAAAAUGGUUUAACCGACAUAAAAACCAAUACUUAUUUUAGGAUAGAGGGAGUAUUUUAGAACAUCAACCGGUACCAUCCAUGAGUUUACUGUACUCCCUCUUCCAAAAUAAGUACACAUCACGCACUUCGAGAAGUUAAACAAAUCUCAAGUAUAAUUAGAUUUAUAAAAAAUAAUAUUCACAUUUGUACCUCUAAAUACGAUUAGUACAAAAAUGUAUAAUAUGAUUAACCUAAUGAUAAUUAUUUGCUAUUAGAAAUCUUAGUAUUUUUUAUGAAGAUUUGGUCAAAUUUAAGUUUGUUUGACUCCUAGAAUAUGAGAUAUGUAUUUAUUUUCGUAUGGUAGGUGUACUCCAUCUGUCCCAAAAUAAGUGUCGUUCUCGCUUCUCGAGAAGCCAAAUGUUUUUUAACAUUGGCCAACUAUAUAAGAAAAUAUUAAUGAUUAUAGUACAUAAUUAUCUAUUUUUAUAAUAAAAUUAAUUGAAGAUACAAAUGUUGCUAAUAUUUUUUUAAAAUCUAGUCAAAUUUAGAAAAAGUUUAACUGGCACAAAAGCUAUAACAACAUUUAUUUUGGGACAAAGGAGGUAUUUUAGAACAUCAACCGGUACCAUCCAUGAGCUCAUUGUACUCGUUUCAAAAUAAGUACAUAUCGCACACUUUCUGAAGCCAAACAAAUCUUAAAGUUUAACAAGAUUUAUAGAAAAUAAUAUUAAUAUUUGUAUCUCUAAACAAGAUUAGUAAUAAAAUAUAUGAUAUGAUUAAUGUAAUGAUAACUAUUUAAUAUUAUAAAUCUUAGUUUUUUAUAUAGAUUUGGUCAAACUUAAGUUUGUUUGACUUCUAAAAGUAUGAGAUGGGCAUUUAUUUUGGCAUCUUAGGUGUACUCUAUCCGUCUCAAAAUAAGUAUCAUUUUUGUUUUUCGAGGAGUCAAAUGUUUUUAAUUUGAUCAAAUAUAUAAGAAAAUAUUAAUAAUUAUAUUACAUAAUUAGUAUCAUUAGAUAGAUCAUUGGAUAUAUUUUCAUAAUAAAAUUAGUUGGAGAUAAAGUUAUUUUAUAUUUUAUAUGCUCUAUAUAUGUGUCUAAAUAUUUGAUGUGAUAGGACAAAAAGUUUCUGGUGGGAACUAAAUAAGGCAUGAGUUAAAGGCGCAAUGGUAAUACUUGAGAAUGUUCCAGAAUCAUACCUCUAUAUGAAAAUCCUCAAGGAAGUGUUACCAUAUCACAGUUUUCUAGAUGUGAACACAAAUUUAUCAAAAUUGGAACAUUGAUGGUAAAACAGGAACAAUAAACUGAUCAUGUCAAACUGUAAUGUUCAUUGGUUCUUUGACAUCCAAUUUAUACACAUGAAUUUUUGGUUUCCCUUUUUGCAGGUUUUUAUCAAUGACAAGGCAGGAUUUAUUGAACAUGUAUGCAGAGGAUAUGGUCUUCCGUCGUGAAUCUUCCAAACCAGAUUUUCUGCUAGAAGAACGUUAAUGGGACAAACAAAAGAAUCUUAAGUUCAAAGACCUUGCUCUAAAGGAGAAAUCAUGGAGUUCCCAUAGGAUUUUUGCACAAAUGUAAACCUGCACUAGAAAUGUGCUCGUUAUUUUUUCACUAGCCAUAUCCUCUCGUGUCCGUUGUCAUUUAAAAUUUUUAUUUUUUCAAGAGUUAUCAUGUUUUGACGUGAUAAUUGUACAACUGGAAUCACUUCUUACAUUUUCAAGAGAGUCCAUAUCAUCUCAGCAUUACUGUUAUUUGCAUAAUUAUAUUUCCAUGGAUUCUUCGACAAAUAUGAUAAUGUUGUCUCUCUUCGAAGUUAUAAUUGUU